This 253-nucleotide ribosomal RNA is filed under the name uncultured prokaryote. RNAcentral's name for it is "partial 16S ribosomal RNA". It matches the Rfam family "Bacterial small subunit ribosomal RNA", at positions 524 to 776 of the family's 1533-position model. The record is from RNAcentral.
UACGGGGGGGGCAAGCGUUGUUCGGAAUUACUGGGCGUAAAGAGCUCGUAGGCGGUUUGUCGCGUCGGCCGUGAAAUCUCCACGCUUAACGUGGAGCGUGCGGUCGAUACGGGCAGACUUGAGUUCGGUAGGGGAGACUGGAAUUCCCGGUGUAGCGGUGAAAUGUGUAGAGAUCGGGAGGAACACCGGUGGCGAAGGCGGGUCUCUGGGCAACUCCUGACGCUGAGGCGCGAAAGCGUGGGGAGCAAACGGG